RNAcentral lists this ribosomal RNA (250 nucleotides) under uncultured prokaryote. RNAcentral's name for it is "partial 16S ribosomal RNA". It matches the Rfam family "Bacterial small subunit ribosomal RNA", at positions 524 to 774 of the family's 1533-position model. The record is from RNAcentral.
UACGUAGGUCCCGAGCGUUGUCCGGAUUUAUUGGGCGUAAAGCGAGCGCAGGCGGUUAGAUAAGUCAGAAGUUAAAGGCUGUGGCUCAACCAUAGUAUGCUUUUGAAACUGUUUAACUUGAGUGCAGAAGGGGAGAGUGGAAUUCCAUGUGUAGCGGUGGAAUGCGUAGAUAUAUGGAGGAACACCGGUGGCGAAAGCGGCUCUCUGGUCUGUAACUGACGCUGAGGCUCGAAAGCGUGGGGAGCAAACA